Molecule: RNA transcript, 5112 nt
Organism: Cygnus olor (mute swan)
Lineage: Eukaryota; Metazoa; Chordata; Aves; Anseriformes; Anatidae
Gene: SOBP
Gene name: sine oculis binding protein homolog
Exons: 9
Source: RefSeq, a predicted model, not a curated record
CCCCCCCCCCAAAGCCCCUCCCGGCCCCCCCAGAGCACCAGCAGCCAUUUCAUCUCCACCACCAAGUAGGCGCAAAAAAUGGCAGAAAUGGAGAAAGAAGGGAGACCUCCCGAAAAUAAAAGGAGCAGGAAGCCGGCGCACCCGGUCAAGCGGGAGAUCAACGAGGAGAUGAAGAACUUCGCAGAAAACACUAUGAAUGAGCUCCUUGGCUGGUAUGGUUAUGAUAAGGUUGAACUGAAAGAUGGAGAAGAUAUUGAAUUCAGGAACUACUCUGCAGAUGGGGAAAGCCGCCAGCACAUUUCUGUUCUCAAAGAAAAUUCUUUGCCAAAACCGAAAUUACCCGAGGACAGUGUUAUUUCACCGUACAAUAUAAACACAAGCUAUCCAGGGCUUGCCACAGGAAAUGGACUUUCAGACUCACCAGCAGGGUCAAAGGAUCACGGGAAUGUACCUAUUAUUGUCCCAUUAAUUCCGCCACCUUUCAUAAAGCCACCAGCAGAAGAUGAUGUGUCAAAUGUACAAAUAAUGUGUGCCUGGUGCCAGAAAGUUGGAAUCAAGCGCUAUUCCCUGAGUAUGGGAAGUGAAGUGAAAUGCUUCUGCAGCGAGAAGUGCUUUGCAGCUUGCCGAAGAGCAUAUUUCAAGAGAAACAAGGCUAGAGAUGAAGAUGGACAUGCUGAAAAUUUUCCCCAGCAGCACUAUGCUAAGGAAACUCCAAGACUUGCCUUCAAGAAUAACUGCGAACUACUUGUAUGUGACUGGUGUAAGCACAUAAGACACACAAAAGAGUAUCUGGAUUUUGGGGACGGGGAAAGAAGGCUUCAGUUCUGCAGUGCAAAAUGUCUCAAUCAGUACAAAAUGGACAUUUUCUACAAAGAGACACAGGCCAAUCUUCCAGCUGGACUGUGCAGUACAUUACAUCCUCCAGUCGAAAAUAAAGCAGAAGGCACUGGGGUACAGCUGCUGACUCCAGAUUCUUGGAAUAUACCGCUAGCAGAUGCUCGGAGAAAAGCCCCAUCCCCAGCGUCUGCAGCUGGCCAAAUUCAAGGUCCUGGACCAUCAGUGUCUACCACUGCCUCUCCGUCUGACACUGCCAACUGCUCUGUCACUAAAAUCCCCACGCCAGUUCCCAAACCUAUUCCCAUCAGUGAGAAUCCAAAUAUUCCACCAGUUUCUGUCCAGCCACCUGCUAGCAUUGUGCCUCCAAUUGGUGUCCCACCUUGCAGUCCUCCCAUGGUGAUGACAAACCGUGGGCCAGUUCCUCUGCCCAUAUUCAUGGAGCAGCAAAUUAUGCAGCAAAUCCGUCCACCAUUUAUCCGCGGGCCGCCUCACCAUGCCUCAAAUCCUAACAGCCCUCUGUCGAAUCCAAUGAUCCCUGGAAUCGGUCCGCCACCAGGUGGUCCCAGAAAUAUGGGCCCCACCUCUAGCCCCAUGCACAGGCCGAUGCUCUCCCCUCACAUCCACCCCCCCACAACCCCUACCAUGCCUGGGAAUCCUCCGGGCUUGCUGCCGCCUCCCCCUCCUGGAGCUCCUCUGCCCAGUCUUCCCUUUCCCCCCGUCAGCAUGAUGCCAAAUGGUCCUAUGCCUAUGCCACAGAUGAUGAACUUUGGACUGCCAUCCCUCGCCCCGCUGGUGCCACCCCCGACUCUACUAGUGCCAUAUCCUGUCAUCGUCCCUUUGCCCGUCCCCAUCCCCCUACCCAUCCCCAUCCCGCACAUCAACGACUCCAAACCCCCCAACGGUUUCUCCAGCAACGGCGAAAACUUCAUUCCGAGUACCUCCAGCGAGACGCCUGGGGCAAAGCCAGCCAACAGCUCCUCAUCCCCUCGAGAGUCGAAGCAAGGAUCGUCUAAAUCCUCCGACUCCUCACCGAGCUGCUCAGGCCAGUCCCUAAACCAAGCUCAAGUGCUUCAGGAGCACGGUAAAAAUGAAGUUGUUGACUUGACUGUCAGACCUAGUAGUCCCGUGAACAGUAAAUUUGGUUUCCCCAGCGUGCUGCAGGGCCCACAGGACGGUGUGAUAGACCUGACGGUAGGCCACCGGUCUAGGCUGCACAAUGUUAUCCACAGGGCUUUACACGCCCAAGUGAAAGUCGAGCGCGAGCCUAACAGUGUUGUAAAUUUGGCUUUCGGUAGCUCAGACAAAAGGAACUGCAGUGACUGCAGGGACAACUGCAGCCCAGUGGACUCAAAAACGCUACCGUGCGGUGACGCGGCUCACUGCUGCCCCGUCUCCUUGGCCUCUGGCACGCCGGGACUGGAAGCCGGAGCGGCGGUGUGCAACGUCAUCGUGAACGGCACCAAGAGCACCGAGGGUUCCAAGAACCCAGAGCCGCCCCAGGAGCCCAAAAAGCCCCAGCCCCCAGAGGAGCUGGCGGUGAGCGAGCUGGAGUCCGUAAAGGAGAACAACUGCGCGUCGAACUGCCACCUCGAGGGGGACGCUGGCAAGAAGAGCGGGGAGGAGCCCCUGGCCGGGGGAGACAAGCAGGACCCAAACCUCAACAAUCCAGCGGACGAGGACCAUGCGUACGCUUUGCGGAUGCUGCCCAAGACAGGUUGCGUGAUCCAGCCUGUGCCAAAACCAGCAGAAAAGACUGCUAUCGCACCGUGCAUUAUGUCAACGCCAAUACUCAGCACAGGGCCAGAGGAUCUGGAGCCACCAUUGAAAAGGAGGUGCCUCCGAAUUCGAAAUCAGAAUAAGUAAAGGAAUGCUCACCGACAGGGUACCUUGCAUGGAGAAAGGGAGCAGAGCAAACCACGUCACUCCACUGAACGACACCAGCUGGUCCGCUCACCAUCCCCUCUGGCUAAAAGUCAAGCAAAUAAAGCAGCUUCCCAUCACGAAGUCCCUCCGAGGAAGCCUCAGUCCCACGGGUGCCUUUGACCCAGAAGACAGCACAUCAUGGACCCACACAGUGUGCUCAGCAUUCCUGCGACCACCCCCUCUUCUCCUCCAAGGAACGCUUUCUCCUCUUGGUUUCUUGCUGCGGGGAUUUUUAACCCUGGUUUCAAAAACCACAUGGACCAACAUAGUUAUUCACUCCUCUACCUGCCUGGUCACAGAUCAAGCGAAAUUCACUCUGAAGUCUCAGAAACAUAUGCGCCAAAUCCAUCCCUUGCAUAAUGCCAACAAAACGAGUGGAAUUACACAAAGGAUGUGAGAAGGUCCCUUGCAAUUAACAGGAGCCCAGCAAAGGGAUGCAGAAUGUUGCUCACUCGCUGCUGACAUUAUUUAUUAUGGACUAAGACAUAAUAAUCGAGCCAAGCCUUUUCCUGGAGAACUUACCAUCAAGGAGCCAAAGAAAAUCCCAGUGCACGGGGAGAUACACGGGAAGGUUCCUGCCUGCAGCAGAAACGGCUCCAGCUAUUGCACACGUGCAGUUUUCAGACGCAGAGGCUGUGUUCAUGAGCAGAGGAGGCAGCUUUGCCUCAGGUCCCCAGCAGCCAGCCUUGUGUGCAUCCCCUCAUGCUGCCGGGCAGAGGGGGAGUUUGCUGCAAUCGAGCCACCCCGGUCCUUCUGCUGGCACUGAAUUUUUGCUGUCAGCAGGAGUCUUGCCCUUGCGAUAAGAGGGGGACUUCAUGCUGCAAACGCUCUGCAUUAAUCACCCCUGGUGUUGUCUUAGAUGGGUUUGAGGGCUUCGUUUUUUUUCAGAACUGCUCCACAAUUCAGUAUGUGGUUAGCCCAAUUCCAUGAAUAAGAAGGUCCCAUAAAAUGAAAGGAUUUAAUGCUUUUUCCGUGCUAAAUGAUGGAAAUAAAUUUGCUUUGUUCAAAUAAGCACCACAUGCCAAAUUUGCAAGGAUGCUUAUCCAAGUCCGAUAUCCCAUUCUGAGGUCCUUAUUUGGACACCCAAAUCAACACUCAGCCAAACACAUGCACGAGGCAUUUCAGUGCCAUUUGGAGUGUCCAUAUAUAGAACUGGAUGCCCUAACUUCAUUGCCUUUGUUUUAAAAAUAGGCCUGGAAUAUGUAAAGGCAUCAUUUAAUAACAACUAUGACAAACAUGCGGUGCUCGAACUCGGAACAAAUUUGCCUGUGCCGGUGGGGGCAGGUUGCUUCCCCUAGAGUGGCUCUGGAUUUACAGAGGUUUAUUUGAGAAAAGAGGCAGCCCUUGAACUGCUCUGCUUUCCACUCCCACCCCAACCUGACUCUAUGUUUGGGAUCUGGGAGGACAGGAAUGCGGAACUGGGGCAGCAUCCACGUGCUGAGAGUCAUGGGAGAGUCAGAAAUCGAGUUGAAUCUGCUCCACAUUAACUGCUCAGACGUCUUGAGAUGGGUAGAACAUCUUUGGGUUUGCACACAUUUUACCUGUCAUGUAUGUGGUACUGGGCAAAGAAAUGCCACGGGGCAUUGAGCACCCAUUUUCCACAAAGCGUAGGACAUACCAGGAAAACAAACACAGAGAGAGCUGUGAAAAAGCCAGCUGAAAACUGCUCCUGGCUGCUUUCCUUGCAGUGACGGUGGGAGCACGGCCCCUUGGACCUGCGGAUGCUUACUGCAGAGCGCUGCAGCGCCUCCGAGGGAGAUGGGGGUCUCUGACACAGGGAUGCUCCUCAGCCUUUUUUGGCCAAGUCAAGGCCUGUCAGGACUUCUACUUCAGUGACACUGUGAGAAACUGACCAAGCCACCAGGCAAAAAAGAGUAACUUAGACCGCUGAUAUUCUCUUUUCUUGAAGCUGUUCCCUGGUGUCUCUACCAUUACCUAUCAAGUGGAGGAGGUGAGUGUCCCAGCCACUUCACCUGCUGCUCUCCUCAAAUAGUUUUCCAAGAAGAUAUAAAUCUGAGAGAGAUGGAGCCAGGUGCACUGACCAGGACCUCUCCUUAUGAAUUAGGUAAGUAUGUAAAAGUUGCAUGUUCCUACCUGGGAUGCCCGUGCACAUGGCUUUCACGGGAGAAGGGGCAGCCUCACCCUGCUUCCUAUGGGGCCUGAUGGCAUGGCAUCCACAUGGCUUUGCUUUGCUUUGCUUUGAAAGACCUUGCUGGACCUAGUUAGGAAAAGGCUUGAGAAAGAAGCAAUGCUGUCUUCUUUUCUAGAAAACUUUGUGAUUAGACAGCUUGCUGGGGGACUGGGAGACUCAGGUCCUUUCCCAUUCUUCAGCUACAGGAAUCAAGCCCAUAC